Long non-coding RNA from Osmerus eperlanus (European smelt), 1175 nucleotides. RefSeq lists it as uncharacterized. NCBI's taxonomy places the organism in Eukaryota, Metazoa, Chordata, Actinopteri, Osmeriformes, Osmeridae. The transcript is spliced from 4 exons. The record is from RefSeq and is a predicted model, not a curated record.
UAUGUAGCUUUAUCAGUUAGCCUACCGUAAGAGCGACAGAUAGGAGACUUUGAAACGAUAUUAUGAAAUUAUGAAACGAUUAUAUGUUAGCGGUGCAUCAAAAAGACGGAAGAAAGAGGAAAACAAAACUUUUAUUGCCACCCUCCCAAAGGCCAUGAAGAAAGCACUAUGGACUAUCAUCACGAACGAGAGAGAAAGAGAUAGAAAUAAGCACCACCAGAACGAGGACAUUUAAAGAGGGAGAAAAAUCUACAAGAAAUCCAGAAAGGGGCAGCAAUGCAAGUGUCUUGGAAACCGGCAUUUCCAGUCAAGCAUAACGGAAGAAGGAAGCGUCUCCCACUGGUUCAUACCACAUCAAAGAGGACGUUUUGGUCCGUCUGACCAGCUGUCAUUCCCCACAUAUCUGACCUGGUUGUCCAGUCUGUUUUUCCACUGUUUCACGUUCCUGGACAGUAUGACCAGCUCUGGACAGACAGACAGACACACAGACACACAGAGAGCGAGAGAGAGAGAGAGACUUUGAUAGGUCUACAACGGUGCCUAUAGGUUCAACAAAGAUAUCACUUUCUCCUUUUUGGACCUUCACACCAGUGGACUAUGAAGUUUAAUAGAGCAUGCACACUGACGCCAACUAGAAACACACACACACACCUCCUCCUCUUGUCUCUUGGACUGUCCUAAUUGGCACUGUAGCAGUGGGGUUCAAAUGGACACCCAGCACAUUGAGCUCCUUCCCCAUCUCUGUUGUCUUUGGCCCACCCCCUGAGCAGGGAGUCCAGGAAAAAAGGAAGAAAAAAAAGAACAAAUAAAAUCUAACCCUGGAAGGAAAAUAGAAAUCCACCGAAAAGUCACAUCGAGAUCAUCUUGGAGGAAGAAAGAAAAAGCUUUUCAUUCUGCCCUCCUCCACUCUAACUAAGGAAAACACAAUGAAAAUCGAAUGAAAGAAUAUAUUGCAUAUCAUAACUGGGGAAGCAUAGAAAACCCCUACUGUGCUAGAGUAACCAUAUUAAAGCAUUGAAAAUAAAGGUCAUGGUCUGUAGACCUUAUUGGGAAAAAAAAAUCCCACAAGGUUCUCUGCUUGUUGUGUAUCUAUAUUAUUCAGCAAAUAUUACUGGCUGACAGUUGACCUUAUCUAAGCAGCAGAAAUAUGAGCAGGAGGGUACUUGAUCGAAAGC